Molecule: unclassified non-coding RNA, 396 nt
Filed under: soil metagenome
Description: partial contains 5.8S ribosomal RNA, internal transcribed spacer 2, and large subunit ribosomal RNA
Rfam family: 5.8S ribosomal RNA (bases 1-122)
Source: RNAcentral
GAUGAAGAACGUAGUGAAAUGCGAUACUUGGUGUGAAUUGCAGAAUCCCGUGAACCAUCGAGUCUUUGAACGCAAGUUGCGCCCGAAGCCAUUUGGUUGAGGGCACGUCUGCCUGGGCGUCACAUAUCGUUGCCCGAUGCCUAUUGCACUGUGAUAGGAAAUUCUAGGGCGAAAGAUGGCUUCCCGUGAGCGUUGUUGCCUCGCGGUUGGUUGAAAAUUGAGUCCUUGGUAGGGUGUGCCAUGAUAGAUGGUGGUCGAGUUUGCACGAGACCGAUCAUGUGUGCGCUCCCCAAAAUAUGGACUCUUUGACCCCACGCGCGUCUUUUGACGCUCAUGACGAGACCUCAGGUCAGGCGGGGCUACCCGCUGAGUUUAAGCAUAUCAAUAAGCGGAGGA